Molecule: long non-coding RNA, 1120 nt
Organism: Bos taurus (domestic cattle)
Lineage: Eukaryota; Metazoa; Chordata; Mammalia; Artiodactyla; Bovidae
Source: Ensembl
GGCUGGGGCUUGGUGUGUGGGGACACACUGUUCCUGGCGUUUGUCCUGAUGGUCUUCCAUGAGGUGGCAUCUGUCCUACUUUCCAAACCCUUUCCUUCAGGUAAUCCAAAGCCAGGAUAAGGAGGUUACAGAUUAUUUACUCUGAAAAUUCCGACUCUCUUCCAGCUUCAUACGUGUUAAAUGGCUUGUGUUAUGAGAAGAGCCAAGGGACUCUAGCAGUGCAUUUCUUUUCAUUUUAUUUAAAGAGAAAUUCAUGAGGCCCUUUCACUUCACAUUAAGGAUGAGACGGUGGAAAGGGGAGAGUGGGGGACUGGAAUGCAAAAGUAGGAAGUCAAGAAACACCUGGAAUAACAGGCAAAUUUGGCCUUGGAGUACAGAAUGAAGAAGGGCAAAGGGCAAAGAGUUCUUCCAAGAGAAUGCACUGGUCAUAGCAAACACCCUCUUCCAACAACACAAGAGAAGACUGUACACGUGGACAACACCAGAUGGUCAACACCGAAAUCAGAUUGAUUAUAUUCUUUGAAGCCAAAGAUGGAGAAGCUCUGUACAGUCAGCGAAAACAAGACUGGGAGCUGACUGUGGCUCAGAUCAUGAACUCCUUAUUGCCAAAUUCAGACUUAAAUUGAAGAAAAUAGGGAAAACCAGUAGACCAUUCAGGUAUGACCUAAAUCAAAUCCUUUAUGGUUAUACAGUGGAACUGAGAAAUAUAUUUAAGGGACUAGAUCUGAUAGAGUGCCUGAUGAACUAUGGACGGAGGUCUGUGACAUUGUACAGGAGACAGGGAUCAAGACCAUCCCCAUGGAAAAGAAAUGCAAAAUGGCUGUCUGAGGAAGGCUUACAAGUAGCUGUGAAAAGAAGAGAAGUGAAAAGCAAAGGAGAAAAGGAAAGAUAUACCCAUUUGAAUUCAGAGUUCCAAAGAAUAGCAAGGAGAGAUAAGAAAGCCUUCUUCAGUGAUCAAUGCAAAGAAAUAGAGGAAAACAAUAGAAUGGGAAAGACUAGAGACCUCUUCAAGAAAAUUAGAGAUAGCAAGGGAACAUUUCAUGCAAAGAUGGGCUCAAUAAAGGACAGAAAUGGUAUGGACCUAACAGAAGCAGAAGAUAUUAAGAAGAGGUGGCAAGAA